UUUAAGGUUAUAUAAUGUUGGCUUUUAAUAACUCUCCAUUUCUCACACCUCUAUCUGCCCAAUCUAAAAAUGGAAUCCCAGAGCAGACAGCAGCACAACGCGAAGAGCUCUCCUGAGCCAAACACAGAGGAAUGGCAGCUGAGCCAGCUACACUUGGCAGUGCUCUCAGUAGGUUUUGUGGAAAAUUGUAUUUCCAUAGGUGUACAGUUUCAUGUCUUUUAAAGUUACGUGGUUAUCAGACCAGCGCCAGACUAUUUGCUCCCAUGCUUCCUGAUGGCCCAGGAGAGGGGCUACUACCUACCUAAGCUACGCUGGACACUCCUAGAGCACAUGCCCUUCUCUCUUUUCUUAAGCCCAGGACUGUCACAUGCAGUGGCCAUUUUUUAAAAAAAGCUACAGGAGGUAGAUUUAAUGUUUAAACCAUUAAAUAGGUCACUAUUCUGACCAUUUCUGAUGCUUUUUUUUCCCCUCAAAACCUAAGUUCUUAGGGUGUUUGCUUUUUCAAAGAGAUAUUUGCCUUUGUCCUAUGUCAUUCCCCCAUCAAUUUUUGGUUUGGAACAAUUUCCAAAUGCAUCAGGACCCCUACAGUAGUCAUUACUUCAUCUAUUUCCAUACUGAAGAUUUACGUGUGACUUCAGCUGGAGCUAUUUGAAUUGGCACUAAGAACAUUCUGGCAGGGGAAAUAGAGAAAAGGAUAUAUUCGACUGCCCUGUACAUGAACAGCGGGGCUACAGUGC
Molecule: long non-coding RNA, 737 nt
Filed under: Bos taurus (domestic cattle)
Lineage: Eukaryota; Metazoa; Chordata; Mammalia; Artiodactyla; Bovidae
Description: long non-coding RNA NONBTAT020243
Source: RNAcentral